Non-coding RNA from Procambarus clarkii (red swamp crayfish), 441 nucleotides. Lineage: Eukaryota; Metazoa; Arthropoda; Malacostraca; Decapoda; Cambaridae. The record is from RefSeq and is a predicted model, not a curated record.
UGACUGUGAAUAGUUUAGUGAUAGAAGCUCCGAUGAGAAAGUGUGCAGUACUGUAAUAUAGGAUGUAACUGCUGCCUUGGUGGAGAUGUUUUUUCUGCAGGGAGCUGACCGCGAUGGUGGGAACGGCUAUGAGGUUCAUGAUGGCUACAACGACCACAGUGGAUACAUCAACCAUGGUGCAUACAACGACCAUAAUGGCUACAGCCACCACGGUGGAGGGUUCGCCGGCCAGCCCCUCGCCGCCAACUACUACCCCUACCACCUCUCCUACCUGGCUCUGGUGGUAUUCUUCUCUUCCCUCACCUUCCUCUACUGGUGGUGCAUCACCAACAGGAGAGAUUGUCUCCAUGGACGUGCAACAACCUCAGUGCCAGCAGCACGUACGCCCACCACCCCUUUGGCCCUAGACUACGUCACCGCCUCCACUUUGGACUUCAUUGA